Long non-coding RNA from Salvelinus sp. IW2-2015, 786 nucleotides. RefSeq lists it as uncharacterized. The record is from RefSeq and is a predicted model, not a curated record. NCBI's taxonomy places the organism in Eukaryota, Metazoa, Chordata, Actinopteri, Salmoniformes, Salmonidae.
CAGCUGUUUCGGCGUGUGGCAGCUGCCCUUCCUGGGAUGGAGAGCAUGCAGGAGACGAGCAAGGAGGGAAUGAUUGACAUCAAGCUGGACAAACCACAGGAGCCUCCAACCACUGAAGGCGGGUGCUCCUGUUAAAUCCCAACACCUGAUUGGUGCAUCUUCAUCUCCACCACAUGCUUGUUGUGUUGGUUCGCCUCCAGUAGAGCUUUCAGAUUGGAAUUUAUUUUAAUACUGGUCAUCAGUUGGAAACUAGCGUUACGUACAUUUCAGUUGUAAAAUAGGGUACUUUAUUAAAGGAAUUGCCAAAAAGUCUUAAACAUUUACAAAAUGAUCAAUAACAAAAAACUUAACCCUCUCAAACAUGUGAACUAUACUUUUUUGGGGGAAAAAGUAGAAUGGUAUGUCAUUUUUUUUUCUUUUAUAUUUUUGUAUAUUAAAGCUUUGAAAAGUUGAAAAGUUGCAUAUGACCAAGUUCUCCCCUUGUAUGUAUGACCAAUGGCACCCUAUUUCCUAUGUAGUGCACUACUUUUAGACCAUAGCCCUAUGGCACUAGGGUAUAGGGUGUCAUUGGGAUGGAAGGAGUCCAGUGGCUAGACAGAGGGCACACUAUUCCCUAUGUAGUGACCCCUAGUGCUCUGAUCAACAGUAGUGCACUAUAUAGGGAAUAGGGUACUCAUCUGAAUGCUUGUAAAUCUAACGCAUGCAUGCCAAUUGUUCAUUUAUGUACUAUUGUGCUCUCUACUGACAAGUUUGAAUAUGUAAAUGAUCUUUGAUCAUGUGACUUAA